Molecule: transfer RNA, 91 nt
Organism: Colletotrichum tofieldiae
Lineage: Eukaryota; Fungi; Ascomycota; Sordariomycetes; Glomerellales; Glomerellaceae
Rfam family: tRNA
About the family: Transfer RNA (tRNA) molecules are approximately 80 nucleotides in length.
Source: Rfam
GGCUGUGUGUUCUAGUGGAUUAUGAUUUCUCGUUCACAAGUAUGUGCACUUGAUCCCGAGAAGGUCGCAGGUUCGAGCCCUGCCACGGUCA